This 508-nucleotide ribosomal RNA is filed under the name uncultured bacterium. RNAcentral describes it as "partial 16S ribosomal RNA". It matches the Rfam family "Bacterial small subunit ribosomal RNA", at positions 29 to 523 of the family's 1533-position model. The record is from RNAcentral.
AUUGAACGCUGGCGGCAGGCCUAACACAUGCAAGUCGAGCGGCAGCGGGAAAGUAGCUUGCUACUUUUGCCGGCGAGCGGCGGACGGGUGAGUAAUGCCUGGGGAUCUGCCCAGUCGAGGGGGAUAACUACUGGAAACGGUAGCUAAUACCGCAUACGCCCUACGGGGGAAAGCAGGGGACCUUCGGGCCUUGCGCGAUUGGAUGAACCCAGGUGGGAUUAGCUAGUUGGUGAGGUAAUGGCUCACCAAGGCGACGUUCCCUAGCUGGUCUGGGAGGAUGAUCAGCCACACUGGAACUGAGACACGGUCCAGACUCCUACGGGAGGCAGCAGUGGGGAAUAUUGCACAAUGGGGGAAACCCUGAUGCAGCCAUGCCGCGUGUGUGAAGAAGGCCUUCGGGUUGUAAAGCACUUUCAGCGAGGAGGAAAGGUUGGUAGCUAAUAACUGCCAGCUGUGACGUUACUCGCAGAAGAAGCACCGGCUAACUCCGUGCCAGCCGCCGCGGUAA